CGGGACACGUGGUAUCCUGUCUGAAUAUGGGGGGACCAUCCUCCAAGGCUAAAUACUCCUGACUGACCGAUAGUGAACCAGUACCGUGAGGGAAAGGCGAAAAGAACCCCGGCGAGGGGAGUGAAAAAGAACCUGAAACCGUGUACGUACAAGCAGUGGGAGCACAGAGCAAUCUGUGUGACUGCGUACCUUUUGUAUAAUGGGUCAGCGACUUAUAUUCUGUAGCAAGGUUAACCGAAUAGGGGAGCCGAAGGGAAACCGAGUCUUAACUGGGCGUUAAGUUGCAGGGUAUAGACCCGAAACCCGGUGAUCUAGCCAUGGGCAGGUUGAAGGUUGGGUAACACUAACUGGAGGACCGAACCGACUAAUGUUGAAAAAUUAGCGGAUGACUUGUGGCUGGGGGUGAAAGGCCAAUCAAACCGGGAGAUAGCUGGUUCUCCCCGAAAGCUAUUUAGGUAGCGCCUCGUGAAUUCAUCUCCGGGGGUAGAGCACUGUUUCGGCAAGGGGGUCAUCCCGACUUACCAACCCGAUGCAAACUGCGAAUACCGGAGAAUGUUAUCACGGGAGACACACGGCGGGUGCUAACGUCCGUCGUGAAGAGGGAAACAACCCAGACCGCCAGCUAAGGUCCCAAAGUCAUGGUUAAGUGGGAAACGAUGUGGGAAGGCCCAGACAGCCAGGAUGUUGGCUUAGAAGCAGCCAUCAUUUAAAGAAAGCGUAAUAGCUCACUGGUCGAGUCGGCCUGCGCGGAAGAUGUAACGGGGCUAAACCAUGCACCGAAGCUGCGGCAGCGACGCUGAUGCGUUGUUGGGUAGGGGAGCGUUCUGUAAGCCUGCGAAGGUGUGCUGUGAGGCAUGCUGGAGGUAUCAGAAGUGCGAAUGCUGACAUAAGUAACGAUAAAGCGGGUGAAAAGCCCGCUCGCCGGAAGACCAAGGGUUCCUGUCCAACGUUAAUCGGGGCAGGGUGAGUCGACCCCUAAGGCGAGGCCGAAAGGCGUAGUCGAUGGGAAACAGGUUAAUAUUCCUGUACUUGGUGUUACUGCGAAGGGGGGACGGAGAAGGCUAUGUUGGCCGGGCGACGGUUGUCCCGGUUUAAGCGUGUAGGCUGGUUUUCCAGGCAAAUCCGGAAAAUCAAGGCUGAGGCGUGAUGACGAGGCACUACGGUGCUGAAGCAACAAAUGCCCUGCUUCCAGGAAAAGCCUCUAAGCAUCAGGUAACAUCAAAUCGUACCCCAAACCGACACAGGUGGUCAGGUAGAGAAUACCAAGGCGCUUGAGAGAACUCGGGUGAAGGAACUAGGCAAAAUGGUGCCGUAACUUCGGGAGAAGGCACGCUGAUAUGUAGGUGAAGUCCCUCGCGGAUGGAGCUGAAAUCAGUCGAAGAUACCAGCUGGCUGCAACUGUUUAUUAAAAACACAGCACUGUGCAAACACGAAAGUGGACGUAUACGGUGUGACGCCUGCCCGGUGC
This 1468-nucleotide ribosomal RNA is filed under the name Escherichia coli. RNAcentral's name for it is "partial 23S ribosomal RNA". It matches the Rfam family "Bacterial large subunit ribosomal RNA", at positions 418 to 1869 of the family's 2925-position model. The record is from RNAcentral. Lineage: Bacteria; Pseudomonadati; Pseudomonadota; Gammaproteobacteria; Enterobacterales; Enterobacteriaceae.